GGUAGUGGGCUUGUGGUUUCUUAGGUAAAAAGAUGGCUAGGAUUUGAUAGGUGAAAGCUUGAGAUGUAAUAGGUGAAAGCUUGGGUUUUUUUAUUAUUUUUUAUUUUGUUUGAAAAGGGUGGAUGGUUGGGAAGGGUUUAUUGGGGUGAGACUGCCAAUGUAUUUUUUUUUUGGCUUGAAUUGGGUAGGUUUGAUGGUUUAAGGGUAGUUUGUAGUUAAUGGGUUAGCUUGGAUAAUGUUUGGGUUAAAUGGUAGGUAGGUAGAUUGGGCAUUGGCUGAAAUUAGAGGAAUUUGUGGGUUGACAUGGGGGAUUUAAUUUUAUCUUAGAAGGUUUACCUACAAAAUAAAAUAAAAUAGAAGGAAAAAAAUUAAAAAUAAAAUAAAAUGUGUAAUUUUUAUAUCUCGAAUUUAUAGCUUACCUAAUGCUAUGCUUAAAUAUUCAAGAAAUAAAUUAUUAAAAACCAAGAUUAUGGGAUUUAAUAAAAUAGUCAUGAUAAAUGCACCAG
This 506-nucleotide long non-coding RNA is filed under the name Gossypium raimondii (Peruvian cotton). RNAcentral's name for it is "long non-coding RNA (GRAI_LNC000238)". The record is from RNAcentral. Lineage: Eukaryota; Viridiplantae; Streptophyta; Magnoliopsida; Malvales; Malvaceae.